This 532-nucleotide ribosomal RNA is filed under the name Bifidobacterium breve. Its description in RNAcentral is "bacterial SSU rRNA". The record is from RNAcentral. Lineage: Bacteria; Bacillati; Actinomycetota; Actinomycetes; Bifidobacteriales; Bifidobacteriaceae.
ACGGGUGGUAAUGCCGGAUGCUCCAUCACAUCGCAUGGUGUGUUGGGAAAGCCUUUGCGGCAUGGGAUGGGGUCGCGUCCUAUCAGCUUGAUGGCGGGGUAACGGCCCACCAUGGCUUCGACGGGUAGCCGGCCUGAGAGGGCGACCGGCCACAUUGGGACUGAGAUACGGCCCAGACUCCUACGGGAGGCAGCAGUGGGGAAUAUUGCACAAUGGGCGCAAGCCUGAUGCAGCGACGCCGCGUGAGGGAUGGAGGCCUUCGGGUUGUAAACCUCUUUUGUUAGGGAGCAAGGCAYUUUGUGUUGAGUGUACCUUUCGAAUAAGCACCGGCUAACUACGUGCCAGCAGCCGCGGUAAUACGUAGGGUGCAAGCGUUAUCCGGAAUUAUUGGGCGUAAAGGGCUCGUAGGCGGUUCGUCGCGUCCGGUGUGAAAGUCCAUCGCUUAACGGUGGAUCCGCGCCGGGUACGGGCGGGCUUGAGUGCGGUAGGGGAGACUGGAAUUCCCGGUGUAACGGUGGAAUGUGUAGAUAUC